Molecule: non-coding RNA, 116 nt
Organism: Capsicum annuum
Lineage: Eukaryota; Viridiplantae; Streptophyta; Magnoliopsida; Solanales; Solanaceae
Source: Rfam
AACCAUGCAAUGCACACAUAGUGAACUAUUCUUUCGCCUUUUACUAACGAGUACCGUGUGUGCAGUGCAAAUAGUGGCAUACGCCAAUUUUUGGAGGGGUUCUUUGUAUUGAGGAU